CCGAGCUCACCGCCACAUCGUACGCUGUCUGACCCGCGGCGUUCCUCCGCCUCAGGUUGGCCUUACAGCUGAAAACAGAAUGAGAGGAUGAUCUCAUUAUGACAUCAGGACAUGGGAGGAGCAACAACUGCAGCAGGACUCUGUACUUCACCUGAGCAGCACCUCAGCACACGGCAGACCUGCAGAGCCCAGAGCAGCAGCUUCAUGAAGAGCAGUGUUCUUCAUCCUGAGGAGGAGGAGGAGUUCACCUUUAGAUCAUCAGCACACACGAGCAUCACAUCGUCUAAAAACCAGGGAAGCUUAAAGGGCCAAUCAGAGGGCUCAGUCUGCUCUGACCUCCUGCACCAGAACCACAGAAACCUUCCAACAAACAUGAAGCCGGUAAGUUUGCUGAUUCUGAUCUUUGGAGGGUGCCAAAUACGAUCGAUAACAAGGAAGAAGCUGGGACGGGCUGACGGGAAUGACCUGCGCUUUUCUUCACACCUCAGCUCAUGUGACGACUCACAUGAUCGAUAGUGGCUUAACGACUCUCAGGACCACCUCCAAGAGACCACCCCCACUAGGCGUUUAUUACCCGUAGCUCCCCAGUUAUUCUAGACCUGAAGAAGCCUCUGGGAUGCUGCAGUACCAGAAUCAGGAACUCUUAGCAGGAACCGGCUCCUUAAGGUGGAACUCUUCACACAUUCAGGGACUCAGAGGUAUUACCAGAGCUGAUCAUGGACCUGUGAUGGAGAUCUGAUCCUCAUUAAAACUAUUUUUGUAAGUUCAUCAAAGCUCAGGAUCUGUCACGUCCUGACCCCACAAACAGCUGCUGAGAGGAUGUUGACAGAGGAGAGGACAUCAUCUCAGAGUUUCGGUCCAUCAGAGGCCACAGUAAAAGCUGAAUGCAUGAGGGAAGAUUUGUGAGCAGAUGCUGUGACGGUGAGUCCAUGCCUCAGACUAA
This is a long non-coding RNA of Archocentrus centrarchus (flier cichlid), 943 nucleotides long. RefSeq lists it as uncharacterized. Lineage: Eukaryota; Metazoa; Chordata; Actinopteri; Cichliformes; Cichlidae. The transcript is spliced from 3 exons. The record is from RefSeq and is a predicted model, not a curated record.